This 254-nucleotide ribosomal RNA is filed under the name uncultured bacterium. RNAcentral's name for it is "partial 16S ribosomal RNA". It matches the Rfam family "Bacterial small subunit ribosomal RNA", at positions 524 to 776 of the family's 1533-position model. The record is from RNAcentral.
UACGUAGGGCGCAAGCGUUGUCCGGAAUUAUUGGGCGUAAAGAGCUCGUAGGCGGUGUGUCGCGUCGGCCGUGAAAACCUGCAGCUUAACUGUGGGCUUGCGGUCGAUACGGGCAUCACUGGAGUUCGGCAGGGGAGUCUGGAAUUCCUGGUGUAGCGGUGAAAUGCGCAGAUAUCAGGAGGAACACCGGUGGCGAAGGCGGGACUCUGGGCCGAUACUGACGCUGAGGAGCGAAAGCGUGGGGAGCAAACAGG